Long non-coding RNA from Loxodonta africana (African savanna elephant), 18493 nucleotides. RefSeq lists it as uncharacterized. The transcript has 3 exons. NCBI's taxonomy places the organism in Eukaryota, Metazoa, Chordata, Mammalia, Proboscidea, Elephantidae. The record is from RefSeq and is a predicted model, not a curated record.
UUUUUUUUUUUUUUUGGUGUGCGUGUUCCUCUAAGUGUCUGCUUUGGUCUGGUUGUGCUCACUUCCCGUAUAACUGUAUAUUUUAUGUAAUAAAAUGUUAUAAAUAAAAUAGAAACCCCAACUACCUGACCACUCUCUUCAUUCUCACCCCAGGGAUAACCACUUUGUUGAAGUUGAUGUUUAUCCUUCUAAUGCAAGGCAUUCUUUUUCCUUUGGUUUUUACAAACAUGAAUUAUCUAUGUCUCUCUAUACUUGUCUGAAUGUAACUUCAUUUGAGGAGUGUGUGUAUGUGUGAGUGUGAUUUAAUAUAUCCAGGUCACAAAAGGUGCUCACUGGUCUCUCCUCUCUCUGGAGAAAGUUUUUAAAAGAGAAUUCUUGGCCCCAGCUAACUGUGGGACCAGCUAUCUGCCCAUUCUUCCCUUGCUGCACCCACAAACCCUCCUGGAGACCAAGAGACUCUGGAAACCUUCCUUACCCAGUGGCUUGAUCCCAGGAGGCUGGAUAUAGCCAAGCUGCCUCAGAUCCUAAUAUUCACUCUGACUUCCAAGUUCACUUGAGCAAAUGCUGGCCUGCUGACCUAACCUGAGAAGUGAGUCAGACCUUGACGCUCCAGGCCGACCUCUUCCCGGUACCAUUAAGGGUCGUCCUCUGCCUCCCACCUUGGUCCAUUAAGAUCUCAGAUGGAGGGAACCUGGACUCUGCCCCAAUUCCAGAUCUUAAGCUGCUGCUCUUUGCCUCCUGCCUCCACAAAAUACUUGCCUGUUGCCCUCACAGGCACCUCCCUUGGGGUCCAAAAGCCCGAUUUCUGAUCCUUCUGAUGGCUAAUUCCUCUUUUUCAGCCCCUCACCAUCCUGGACCUCUUUCCUAAAAGGCUUCAGAAAAGAUAAAGGUGUGGAACUUCUGGGACUAGACUAUUGUCUUAGCCUUCUCUUUCACUUUCCCAUCUCCGUGUUGUGAGCGCCCCUUCCUCCAUCUCCGUCAUCAAUACCUUAACCAUCUUUUAUGACUUAGUUCAAGUGUCACCUCCUCUAGGGAUUUAUCCUUCAGGCCACUACACUUGAGUAGCUUGCUUUCUUUUCCUUAACCCCCAUCCCAGUGCCGUCGAGUAGAUUCCAACUCAUAGCGACCUUAUAGGACAGAGUAGAACUGCCCCAUAGAUUUUCCAAGGAGCGCCUGGCGGAUUCAAACUGCCGACCUUUUGGUUAGCAGCCGUAACACUUAACCCCCAUAGCACUAUUUUUUGUGUGUGUGUGUGUGCACCAUUUUAACCAUUCCAAAGUGUUCAUUUUAGUAUAGUGACAUUACUUUCACCAUGUUGUGCAACCAUCACCACUAUUGAUUUCUAAAAGUUGCUUUUAUCUCCCUAAACUCAGUACCUCUUCAGAAAUAACUUCCUAUUCCCUUCUCUUCCAACCCCUGGUAACCACUAAUAAAUUUGGUUUCUAUGUACUUGAGGAAACCCUGGUGGCGUAGCGGUUAAGUGCUACGGCUGAUAUCCAAAGGGUCGGGAGUUCAAAUCUGCCAGGUGCUCAUUGGAAACUCUUAUGGGGCAGUUCUACUUUGUCCUAUAGGGUCGCUCGACUCGACGGCACUGGGUUUGGUUUGGUUUGGUUUAUGUACUUGUAUCAGAAAUCCAGUUCUCUUUGUAACUGAAUAAUAUUCCAUCGUAUGUUUAUACCGCAUUGUGUUUAUCCAUUCAUCCAUUAUGAACCCUUGGGUUAAUUUCAUCGUCUGGCUAUUGUAAAUCAUGCUGCAGUGAACAUUGGUGUCCAGGUAUUUGAGUCCCUGCUUUUAAGCCUUUUGAGUAUGUGCCUAGGAGUGGACUUGUUGGGUCAUGGUAAUUCUUUUUGAGGAACUUCCAAACUUUUUCACUGUGGUAAGAAGUGGGUGUGAAGUGGUAGCUCAUUGUGGUUUUGAUUUGCAUUUCCUUAAUGACUGAUGACAGCCGAGUAUUUUUUCAUGUGUUUAUUGAUCAUUUGUAUAUCUUCUUAGGAGAAAUAUCUGUUCAAGUUCUUUGCCCAUUUUUUGUUUUUUUUUGUUGAGAUGUAGGAGUUUAUAUAUAUAUAUAUAUAUAAAACUUGUCAGAUGUAUAGCUACCAAGUAUUUUCUCCCAUUCUGUAGGUUGUCUCUUUACGUUGUUGAUAAAGUCCUUUGCACAAAAGUUUUUAAUUUUGAUGAACUCGGAUUUGUCUAUUUUGUCUUUUGUUGUUUGUGCUUUUGGUGUCAUGUCUAAGAUUCCAAUGUCAAAAAAAGAUCUUAAAGCCUUACCCCUAUGCUUUCUUCUAAGAAUUUUAUGGUUUUGGUUCUUAUAACUAGAUCAUGUUGAGUUUAUUUUUGUAUAUGGUGUGAGGGAACUGGAAUUCUUUUAAAAUUUCCAAAUAUUCUAAGGGGCAUCACAAGUGUUAGUGAUAGAGAAUGGAGAUAAUUUACCUAUGAAAACAGUACUGGAGUACAGCUGCCGUUGGAAAUACUAAUGUUUUUGACAAAUUUUAUUUGCUGAGUCAGCUUAACUUUCAUAUACAGCCACAGUUUGUGCAGACGGUUUUGGUUUUGUGGCUGUAAACUGAUUUUUACGAGGCGCAAUAUCUGAGAAUGUUCUUUUAGCCGUGAUUAGGAGGAGGAAUUUUGGAUAGCUUUUGUUCUUUCACCUAGGUACAACCACAUAUAAGGAGAAAACUUAAGGUAGUCUUUUGAAAAUUGAUGAAUACACCUCUAAGUUGUUUCUAGUUCUUUUAUGUACAGAGAAUAGAAGGUGAAUUUAAAUGAGCUCAUAUUGCAAAAAGCAGCUUUCCUUUUUGAUUUAUAGGAUUAACUAAUCUAUUAACAGGAAAUGAUUAUCAAAUCUGAAUUGAAGUUGUGUAGGCUUUUUAGUUUUUGCAGAACACAAGUCUAAAUUUCAGAAGAAAAUGUAGUGCUCCAACAGUUAAAUUUUUAUUUCGAGUAACAGCUGGAUGACAUAUAAAGAAAAACGGUGACUUCAUUUUUAGCAGCAUCUGUUUGUAUUUCUUGAGCCCCUUUGUAUAAAAGCAAAAAGUUAGAGUAAUUGUUAGUGAAGUACAUUCUUCUGAAAGCAUCAAAUAAUUUCCUUAAAAUUUUUUUAAAAUAUGAAAGUGAUAUGUAGAUUUUAAGAAUAAAUAAAUAUUCAUAAUCCAAUUAUAUUUUAGUAAUCACUGGUAAUAGGAUAAUUCCUUUUAUCUACACAGACACAUUUAUUUUUUCCCGGUUGGGUUAAUAAUGUAUAGUGUAUAUCCUGAGCAUCUUCACGUUGUUGGAUUUCUAAACCCCGUGUGGUAUUCUGUUGUAUCUGUGUACCGUACUUUAGCCAGUCUCCUAUUGUUGAGCUUUUUAGUGUCUAUUGUCUCACCAGUAUAAGUAAUUUUUUUCAUAAACACUCUUGAUUCUUUGUGUAUUUGGUUUUUUCCCCUAGAUUAAGUUCCUCCAGGGUUUGCUCAAGGAUGUAGUAACAUUUUUUAGUUCUUGUUGUCUAUUGUUAUUUGCUUUCUAGAAAUGGUAUAUGGCGUUGCUUUUAAGUAUCCUUUCGAACCCUAAAUAUUAAUAAAAUUAUAAAACUGUGCAAGUAUAAAAGUCCAGCUUGUUGUUUUAGCUUACGUUUGUCUUAUUAAAAUAAAGGCUGGAUAUUUUCUUAUGCUUAUUAGCCAGUUAUAUUUGUUGUUAGCCAUCUGUAUAUUAAGAUUAUUAAUCCUUUUUCCUCUCAUAGGUUGCAAAGAGCUUUCGUCUAAUUUUUGUUAUUUUUAUACAGAUUUUUAAUCAGUUGUCUCAGUCAUUUUCUUCUUUUGUUAAUGUGUAGAAAGUCCUUUCCCAUCCAGUAUUAGAGUGAGUUUAUUCAGAUUAUUUCUUGGUUUCAUUAAAAAAAAAAAAAAAGUAAAGUUUCGAGCAUAUAUAAAAGUAAAGAGAGUAGUAUAAUGAACCCGUGGUGCCCAUUACCCAGCUUUAAGAAAUAACAAUCUUGUUCUAUAUAUAUUUGCCUCUCUCGAAAUCCUCCUGAGAUAUUUUGAAGCAAAUCUCAGACCAAAAAAAAAAAAACAAAACCCAAACCCACUGCCGUCAAGUCAAUUCUGACUUACAGCAACCCCACAGGACAGAGUAGAGCUGCCCCAUAGAGUUUCUAAGGGGCGCCUGGCGGAUUCAAACUGCCGACCUCUUGGUAAGCAGCUGUAGCACUUAACCACUACGCCACCAGAGUUUCCAAAUCUCAGACAUCAGAGUAUUAUUUCAUCUGUUGAUAUUUAAAGAUGUAUUUCUAAGGAUUUCCUUUUUUAAAACAUAGUAACAUGAUCACACACUCAAAAUUUAACAAGAACCCCUAAUAUUAAUCAGUGCCAUUUUCUCAUUAACUUGUAAUUAUUGUUUUUACAAGUUCGAAAUUAGGAACCAAGUAAGAUCGAUACUUUGCUUUGGGUUGUAAUAUGUUCUUAAAUUUAUUUUAAUCUGCAAAUUUUCCUUUUUGCAAUUUUUGUUGAAAAAGAAGUGUGCUUUUUUUGGGGGGGUGUACAUUUGACUGUCUAAUGCAACUGGAAUAUAUUUUGGUGAAUAUCUGAAGCUUGGAUCUACCUCUUGUUCCCCACUUGCAACAGCUAACCUGCAUCCUUUAAUAUGUAACCUUAAUUCAUUGAAUUGAAGUGCUGCUUUUAUCAUAUAUGAAGUAUUACAUAAGAAUUAUUAUGAUAAAAGUGAUUCUUCCAAUCAAUGGUAAAAUCAGUAUUGUUGUAUGUGAAAAUUCCAUUAGUGUUUUGAUUGAAAUUGUUACAUUGAUUUGUAGAGAAUCGACAUCUUGACAAUAUUGAGUUUUCCCAUCCAGGGGCAUGUAUUUUUUCAUUCAUUCGAGUGUUAAACUUUGUUUCUCAUAAUAAAUUUUCGUAUUUUUCUUCUCAGAGGCCUUCCUAUUUAUUGUAUGUUUUCCCCAAUAUUUAGUCACUUCUUGAACCUCAAGCUACAAAUUUUCCAGUGACUUAAUUCUAAAUAUUUUACUGACACUGUUCAGACAGACAAACUGAAUGUAAAAUGUAUUCAUACUUUGUGCCAAAAGAGGUUAUUUGAAUGAGGCAGGUACGUAACAGAAACAUACUUUUUUGUUUUUUUACAUUAAAUGUUUUAAAAAUCUAUUUAAAAGUAACAUGUUAAUGAAAGGAAAAUAUUCAAGCAAUACAGGAAAACUUAUAAUGAACUGUUCUCCUAGCACUGUGUCAGCUUCUCUCCUCAUUGGCAAACACUGUUAAUAAUUUUUUACAUGUGCAGAGAUAGUCGGCUAUAUACAUGGUGUAUGUAUGUAUCUCCCUUUUGUUAUACAAAUGGAUGUCACUUUUCCUUCUUUCUUUUUCUUUUUUGGCUUAUCAAUAAACCUUGGAGAUCUUUCCAAAUCAACAUAUAAAGAUCUAUCUCAUUUUUAUUAAUGGCUACAUAGUGUUCCACUGUAAUGAUGCGCUGUAGUUUAUUUAACUUGUUUUCUAUUAACAGGCAUUUAGGACCUUUCCUCCAUUAAAACAGUGCUAUGAAGAAAAUUCUUGUAUGUGUAUCUUUGUGCAUGUCUGGAAAUAUUUUUGAAGAAUAAAUUUUAGAAGUGGAAUUACUGGUUCAAAAUCAAUACAGUGCUGCCAAGUUGCCCUCCAAAAUGGCCUUACUGAUUUUACAGUCCCAGCAAGUGCGUAUGAGAACACUCAUUUUUCUAUAUCUUCACCAGUUCUGGAUGUUAUCAGUUUUUUUUAAUCUCUAAUAUGAAGGUCAUAAAUUUUUACUUCUUAUCGUCUAUGAAAAAAUACAUUUUUAAAAAAGUCUCCACAGAUGGGAAGAGUGACAAUCAGCUAUGACUGUUACUGCUGCUUGAUGUUUUUUAAAAAUCCUGUCCUGGGGGGAAAAAAAAGUCCCGUCCUGGUCAUCUUUAGACGUUUAUCCAGUUAGAUAGGGUGUGUAUUCACUUUUUCCACACAUCUUCCUAAAGAUUAGAGAUUUACAAAAUGAACCAUUGUUUUUUAGCUUGAUUUUGGGUAAUGUUAGCUACAUUGAUAGACUCCCUUUCAUCCCCAUCCGCUGCCCAGCAAAGCGAUGCUUUGUGAGGGGAGGGCUUGAAGGGGACUUUAUUCCAUCUCUGCCACCUACACCAGGCCUGUAGUCUUCUUUAAAGUACAACCAACAGAAAUUUCUUGAACACUUAAAUUCCAGGCUCUGUGCUAGAAAUUGGGGGUAUGAGAGUGAAUAAAACACACAAAACUGCCUUCUCACAGCUUACAUUCUAGCCAGGAAGACAUGCACACUGAAAAAGUAACUACAAGUGGGAUGAGUAUGACCAGAAGGGAAUUUAGCAAAAAGAAACUACAGAGGUAGAAAGCAAAGACAUUUAGUCUCUGGUGACGUAGUGGUUAGGUGCUACAGCUGUUAACGGAAAGGUCAGCAGUUGGAAUCCACCAGGCAUUCCUUGGAAGCACUAUGGGGCAGUUCUAAUCUGUCCUAUAGGGUUGCUAUGAGUCAAAAUCUACUCUACGGCAGCGGGUUUAUGGGUCUGAUGAGGAAACUAGCCAGGCAAACACACCCUAACCCUAACACACAGCACGUGCAAGAAGCCCUGAAACAGGAGAAAACAAAACAAAGAGUGGUACAAAGCAAGGUUGCAAAGAAGUGCUAUAUCCUGUAGAGCCUAGAGAGUCACGUUAAGGACUUUAUCCUAAGAAAGCUAUCGCAAGGCCUUUAGUAUGGAUGGGACACAAUCAGAUUUUAAUUUAUAGCAUUAUAAUGUGAGAAUAGAUUGGAGGAAUCUGGAUGUUGCAGUAGGCUAGGUGAGGAGAGGUGAUAAUUUGGGCUUAUGUAGUGGCAACAAGGAUGAGAAGAUAUGAGUGGAUCCGAGAAUUGCUUAGGAAAUAGAAUUACUAGGAUUGGGUGAGUUUUCCAGCUUGAGCAACUAGAUGAAUGUGGUCCUGUUUUGUUGAGAUAGAAAUAUACGCACUGAGGGACAGUUUCUUGGCUUGGCGUACUUUGACUGUUUACAAACAAUGACAUGGGAGUUUCAGGACUCCAAUGGGCAGAGACUAAUCAGGAUUAUUCCGUUGUCCCUUUUAUUCUCUACCUAGUGCUGUACUGAUCAACAACCAGGUAUUACCUGUACUGCCUUUUGGUUGACAAAGGUGGUAUUAACUUGUGUGUAUGAAUUGCUAGGUACGUGUUUUUGUUUUUUACAUUUUGUCCCAUUUUCUUCUCCUGUCUCUGUCUCUCCUUUUUUCCAUACACGCACACACACACACACACACACUUUUCUGAACGAUUUGACUGCUAGUUGUACACAGCACCCCUAUAACAUCAGCCUGUCUCUCCUAAGAAGAUACAAUCAUUACACUCAAGAAAUUUAAUAUUAGUACAACACCACUAUCUAAUAAGAAGCUUAUGUUCAAAUUUUCAUCCAGUGGUCCUGAUGUUCUUGCUAGGUUUUGUUUUUAAAGUAAAUACUAAGGAGCAAGCACUGCAUUUAUUUGACCUGUCUCUUUAAUCUAUUACAGUUCCUUAGCCUUAUUUUUGUCUUUCAUGACAUUGAAAGUUUUUGAAGUGUCCAGCUCAGCUGUUUUGCAGAACAUCGCUCAAUUUAUAUUUGCUCAGCAGCUGUCUCAUGAUCAGUUUUAAUGUUUCUGUGAGUAGAAUACUACAUAGGUGAUGUUAUAGCCAUCUCAGUGCAUUACAUGAGAAGGCAGAUAACAACAGUUUGUCCAGGGAUUACUGAUGUUAAUUUUGAUAAUUUGGCUAAGCUGUUGUCUGCCAUAUUUCUCUAUAUCCUGUUUUCCAGCAAUCUUUCAUCUAAUUUUAGCAUCCAUUCAUAAAUUUAGCCUGAACCAAUUAUUGCUAUGGUUACUAUGAAAUGGUUUUUUCUAUUUCUAUUGUCUUUCUAUAAUUAUUAGUUGACAUUCUUCCGUCUUCUUUCCCCCCUUUCUUUUUGACAUAUCCCCAUUAGUUUUUGAGCACUGCCUUUUCUGCACAAGUUGUUUAAUUCUCACCUUAUUCUUUUCCUACUCAUCUUGUACCUUGCCUGAUCAUUUUCCUGAGCAUCCCUGACUCCUUUUAAGGGGGAUAGUAUUUAGAUACCAAGACCUAGACCUGAUAUAGAAUAUUUCCAUCAUUACAAAAAGUUUUCUCAUGCUUCAUUUGAGUUGAUCCUCCCACCUUCAGCUAUAGCUUCAAGUAACCACCAGUCUCCUUUCUGUCACUGUAGAUUAAACAAAGCUUAACUCUUUUGUAGAGUUUGAUAUAAUGGAAUUAUGUUGUAUCUUUUGUGUGUGUGUGUUUGUGCGUAAGUUUUCUUUUGUUCAGCAUGUUUUUGAUAUUCAUCUUUGUUGUUGCAUGUAUCGGGAAUUCAGACCUUUUAUUGGUGCAUAGUAUCCCAUUGUAUGGAUGUACCACAAUUAAACUGUGACAGACAUUUGGAUUGCUUCCAGUUUUGGGGAACUAUUAAUAAAGCUACCAUGAACAUUUGUGUAAAAUUCUCUGUGUGGAUACAUGUUUUCAUUUCUUUAGGGUAAAUACCCAAGUGUGGAACUGCUGGUCAUAUGGUAAGUGUAAAUAUGUUUAUAAGAAAAUGCCAGUUUUCCCAAGGGACUGUAUCAUUUCUACCAUCAGUGUUUGGGAGGACCAGUUACUUCAGGUUGUCAUCAACACUUGGUAUUGUCUUUUUAAUUAGUGUGUAGUGAUAGCUCAUUGUGACUUUAAUUUGUAUUUUCCUAAUGACUAAUGAGGUUGAGCAUUUUCUCAUAUGUCUAUUGGCUAUAUGUAUAUUAUCCUUUGUGAAGUUUAUGUUAAAAUCUUUUGGCUAUUUUUAAAUUGGCUUUUUUGUUUUCUUAUUAUUACAUUAUAAGAGUACUAUAUAUUCUAGACGGACUUAUUUUUGUUCAGAUUGUAUUGCAAGUAUUUUGUCUCAUUCUGUGGUUUGCCUUGUCAUUGUCUUUACAGUGUCUUUUAAGAGCAGAAAUUUUGUAUUUUGAUGAAGUCCAAUUUAUUAACUUUCUCUUUAAUGAUUAGUGGUUUUUGUGUCCCAUCUAAAAGUAUUUUUACCUAUCUUAUAGUCAUGAAAAUUUUCUUCCACAGUUUUAACUUUUACCUUUAAGCUUACAAUCCAUUUCAAUUUAAUUUUUGUAUAUGGUAUGAGGCAGUGGCCAGGAUUUAUUUUUUUAUUUGAAUACCCAGUUGUUCCAAGACUGUUUGGUGAAAAGACUAUUCUUGUCCUCAUUGAAUUACCUAGACACCUUUGUCAACAAUCAACUGAUAAUAUAUGUGCGAAUCUAUUUAUCUUCUGUUCCAUUGACCCCUAUGCCUAGCCCUAUGUCAAUACUUCAUUGUCUUGAUUAUUGUAACUUUAUAAUAAGUCCUAAAAUCAGGUGUUAAGCCCUUCAACUUUCCUCCUUUUCAAGAUCGUUUCUGGCAUUUCCAUAUAAAAUUUAGAAUCAGUUUGUCAUUUCUACAAAUGGACUUGCUUUGAUUUUGAUUGGGAUUAUCUUGAAACUAUAGAUCAGUUUGGGGGAAAUUGCCAGUUAACAAUACUGGUUUUGAAUCCAUGAAUGUAACACAUCACUCCAUUUGUUAAGAUGUUUCCGAGUUUCUAUCUUCUGUGUUUUGUAGUUUUCUUUGGACAGGUUAUGUACAUACUUUGUUAAAUUUUUACCUAAGUAUUUCAUAAGGAGCCCUGGUGGCGCAAUCGUUGAGUGUUCAACUGCUAACUAAAGGACUGGUGAUUUGAAUUCACUAGGGGCUCCACAGGAAGAAGAGGUGGCAGCCUGCUUCCAUAAAAGUCACAACCUUGGAAAACCUCUGGGGCAGUUCUGCUCUGUCCUACAGGGUCUCUAUGAGUUGACUAGAUGGCAAUGAAUUUGGGUUUUUUUGAAGUUGGAGGUGUCAUCUGCUGAGAUUGAAGUUGGAGGUGAAGUGGGAAUACCUUCUUCAAAAUUCACCCAUCCUCAUCCCCAAAACUAUUUCAAAUUUAAAUAUAUAUUUUUGACAAGAACAAAGUACAUUCUGAAAUUUAUGUGAAGUAUUAAUGAAAAUCUUUUAAAGCCUUUAUUGUUUUAAUUGACCUGUAACACAUAAUCUAAGUAUAAAGUGUGAUUGCUGUGCACAUUCAACUGAAGACAAUUCUUUUAGCCGCCCUACCAAUUACCUUGCUGCUCUUCGGUCUCUUUUAUAACAAUGUUCCUGAGCUGCUGCUAGCGGAGAAGGUGUGAGGAUGUGGAGAGAGUGAGGGCUAACUAGGAAAAACCGGAGUAUUCCCCUCACACAGGCCAGAAAGACCCAACCCUUUCUUUAAAGUUGUUUGUCCCUAGAAGAUUUUGCAAAAUUGUCCAUCCUCAUAAGAAAAGCUACUCUCUCUUGCUGGAAGUUAUCUUUUCAUUCUUGCUUAAUCGAAACUUCCCUCUCUUAACAUCAAAGUUUGUGGCUUUUAAGUGCCUGUGCUUUCUUCCUUUAUUCCUUCUGCUUUCAAAAUUGGAGGUAUUUCAUUUUAAAGAAUCUUGGUUUUUAAUCUUUUACCUCAGUGGCUACUUUUUAAAAAAAUUUUAUUGUGCUUUAAGUGAAAGUUUACAAAUCAAGCCAGUCUCUCACACAAAAACCCAUAUACACCUUGCUACAUACUCCCAAAUUGCUCUCCCGCUAAUGAGACAGCCCACUCCCUCCUUCCACUCUCUCUUUUCAUGUCCAUUUCACCAGCUUCUAAUCCCCUCUACCCUCUCACCUGCCCUCCAGGCAGGAGAUGUCAACAAAGUCUCAAAUGUCCCCCUGAUACUAGAAGCUCACUCCUCACCAGCAUCCCUCUCCAUCGUAUUGUCCAGUCCAAUCCCUGUCUGAAGAGUUGGCUUUGAGAGUGGUUCCUGCCCUGGGCCAACAGAAGGUCUAGGGGCCAUGAUCACCAGGGUCCUUCUAGUCUCAGACCAUUAAGUCUGGUCUUUUUAUGACAAUUUGGAGUGUACAUCCCACUGCUCUCCUGCUCCCUCAGGAGUUCUCUGUUGUGUUCCUUAUGAGGGCAGUCAUCAGUUGUAGCUGGGCACCAUCUAGUUCUUCUGGCCUCAGGCUGAUGUAGUCUCUGGUUUAUGUGGCCCUUCCUGUCUCCUGGGCUCGUAAUUACCUUGUGUCCUUGAUGUUCUUCAUUCUCCUUUGGUCCAUGUGGGUUGAGACCAAUUGGUGCAUCUUAGGUGACUUCUUCCUAGCAUUUAAGACCCCAGAUGAGUGGCUACUUUUUUAGCAAUAUGGGAAGUCCCACUUUUCCCCAACAAAAUGGGUCUCAUAUAGCCAUUAAGGAAAUAAACAGAACUAACCUGAAUAUCCUUAGCAUAAGGUGACUGAUGGUGGAGGUGGUUUGUUUCGGUGCAUAUGCUUCUGUGUAUGUAUGGAUGUGGGUAGAGAGGAUAUGGAGUGGUGAGUCGGUCUUGAUGAUUUAAUUAGUCUUAGUUUCUACCAUCUGUGGAGAAUACAGGAGAUAAAGACUUAACCUAGGUGAGUUAGGGCAUUAGGAAUGAGAUCCCUGCAUUAAGACAGGAUUUCCGUACAGGUGUAUUAGAAGGGUCCUCACCUACCCACAUUGGGGGCCUGAGGACUGGUGGCUCCACCCACUCCACCGAGCCACCUGCAACGGGUCCAAGAAUAAGUAGUGACUCCCAGUCCUUACAGCCAGCAGCAUUGGGUGUCCACAGACCAGCUGUAAAACCCGUCUACUAAAUGUGCCAAUAAAGAGACAGCAAUAAAAUGGACUAAAAAAUGUGAUAUGUCUGUAUGCUGCCUACAAGAGACACACAUUAGACUUAAAGACACAAACAAAAAAUCAAAAGAGGGAAAAAAAUAUAUCAACCAAACAAUAAUAAAAAAAGAGCAGGAGUGGCAAUAUUAAUCUCUGACAAAAUAGUCUUUACAGCAAAAUCCACCACAAAGGAUAAGGAAGGACACUAUAUAAUGAUUAAAGGGCCAAUACACCAGGAGGACAUGACCAUAAUAAAUAUUUAUGCACCCAAUGACAGGCCUUCAAAAAACAUAAAACAAAUUCUAACAGCAUUGGAAGAGAAGUAGCUCCACAGUAAUAGCUGGAGGCUGCAACACACCACUUUUGAUGAAGGACGGAACAUUCAGAAAGAAGCUCAGUAAAAACACGGAAGAUCUAAAUGCCACAAUCAACCAACUUGAUCUCAUAGACAUAUACACAACACUCAACAGCAGCCAAGUAUAUACUUACUUCUCCAACGCACAUGGAACGUUCUCCAAAAUAGACCACAUCUUAGGCCAGAAAGCAAGCCUUAACAGAAUCCAAAACAUUGAAAUAUUACAAAGCAGAUUUUCUGACCAUAAAGCCAUAAAAGAGAAAUAUGGCCUCAGCCUAGACAGCAAAGGGUUUUCAUAGGCAAAGUCUCACUGAGGAUAAGUUUUUAUACUCUAUGUAUGAAAGGAGAAAAGCUCUGGAGUCAGGGACAAUCUACUCUGAGUAGGAAUUAAUACAAAAAUAAAAACCAAAACUCUAAAGGGGUGGGUUAAGUAUCAAAUGAGACAUUCUCAGGUCUAGAACUUAGAUAUGAGAAAUUUACUGAGAGUAUAUAACAGAAAGGCAAGAAAAAUGAAAUAAGAGAUAUUUAGAAAUAGAAUAGAAAUAAACUCCAACAUAAAUCCAAUUGAAGUUAAGGGGAAAAGAAUUGAGAGAAUGAGGAGAGGCAAAAUUUGAAGAGAUUAUGGUUAAGAACUUUACAAGAUGAACAGGAGCCAGCUGCAGAAUCCGGAGUGAACAAAAAGCCAGAACGUCUGCUUAUAUUCAGAUGCAGUUUUGUAAAAACUGAUAAAAUGUAAGAAUCCUCAUACUUAGAAUUCAUAGUGAGUCUUAAGAAGUAAAAUGGAUACUUGGUAGUGAAAUUGCAAAAUGCCGAAAGCUGACCAGGGAGAAAAUGCAGAUUAUUUAAAAAAGGAAUGUCGAUUAGUCUGACAGAGACUUCAUUUGCAAAAAUAAAAACUGAGACAAUGAAAUUAUAUCCUCAAAAUGCUGCAAGACCAUAACUGGCAAUCUGGAAUUUGUCCCCUGCUAAACAAAAAAAAAAAAAAAAAUUUUUUAUUUAAACAUUUAAGAGUGAGGGCAAAAUAAAGACUUGUCAAAAGAAAAGACUGAGCCUACCACUAAGCUCUCAAUGGAAGAACUACUAAAGAGGGUGGUUUAGGAAGAGACUUGAAUGGCCACUAAAAAAAUGCUCAGAAUCAUUAACGAUUGAGGAAAUGCAAGUUAAAACAAAGAGACACCAUUUAUCACCAUCACAUUGGCACAAAUGUAACAAGUCUGAUAAUAUUAACUGUGCUGUUCAGGCGGGAGGAGGGAGACUGGGAUCAAGUCAGGCAACACAGGAUUUCAAUUGUGUUGGCAGCAUUGAAGAAAAAAUGAUCUGAAGUAAGUAUAGUAAAAUGUUAAGACUUGACAGUUGGCAGAUGGGUACAAAGGUGUUCAUUGUCUUUUUCUCAGUACUUGUUCUGUAUGCUUGGAUAAAGUGAGCAAAUGAAAAAGACAGUUUUCAGGCAGCUAGGCAAAAGAGAAAGACAAGUAGGUGUGAAUAGAUGUGCAAAGAGAAUGACAGGGAAAAAAUGUGUCUUAACUAAUGAGAACAGGUGGCACUCAUUUCAGAAUAAUUGUCCUUGCAUGAAGUCUACAGAGGGAGAAAGGAGAGCUAAGAAGUCUGGAAUAAUCCAGAAGGGGUGGAGUGUGGAGGGAGGAUAAAAAGGAAGUCAAUAAAUGCAGGGUAGAAAUUACUCUAAAAGUUCUUAAAAAAAAAAUAAAGAGAGACAGUAUCAGAGUCUGAGACAAACAGUAGGGACAAAAAGGGAAUAAAAAAUGGAUUUGGAGAGGUUUCAAAGGAUUAAUUAAAUCUGCUCAAAUGUGUCAGGAUGGGAGAAAUGAAUACAAAUAGCCACAGAGAGCUGAGAAAGGGAGGGAGUGAAAACGAGUUAAUGUUUUCGUUGAACUGACAUGUGACCAUGUUUAUGUAAAUAGUUUUUGGUCUGUAGAGAAAAAUUGUAAACACCUCUAUCACAGUAGUGAAUUAUUGAGAAAAAAUCAUGCUUUGGGUUUUUUAUUUUGCUUCUGUGUAUUUAUCCAGGAAGCGUAAAAAAUCUCCCAUUAACCGCUCUUAGGCUCAGUUCUCUAGAGAAGCAAAACCAGCAAAUCGUAUAAAUAUAUAUAGAGAGAUUUAUAGCAAAGAAAUGGCUCACACGAUUAUAGAGGCUGGAACGUCCCAAGUUCAUGGAUCAGGAUAGAGGCUUCUCCUGAUUUACAUAGUUCCAGGGGCUGGCAAACCCAAGAUUGGCAGGUCAGGGAGCAGGGCUCUUGCUCACAGGCUGUGAAGAUCAACAAAUCCCAAGACUGGCAGGGAAGACCUCAAGGCUUCUCCUGAUUCACAUAGAUUUAGGGGCUGGCAAACCCAAGAUCAGCAGGUUGGAGGGUAGAACUCCUACUAAAAGGCUGUGAAGAUCAACGAAUCCCAAGAUCUGAAGAUAAGCUGAUAGCUCAAGUUCCAAGAACUGGAGGUCAGACGAACAGGAGGCAGUGCAGAGUCCGGAGUGAACAAAAAGCCAGGACGUUUGCUUAUAUUCAGAUGCAGGCCACAUCCCCAAGGAAACUCACCUUCAACUGAUUGGCUACUCACAGCAGAUCCCAUCAUGCGAGUCAUAACACAUAAACACUGAGAAUCAUGGCCCAGCCAAGCUGACACACAGUCUUAACCAAUUACAUACUCCUACCCCAGAAUAUGAGCCCAGCACUGUUUCUUCAAGAUAUGAGUGGUUCUACAGCCUGCUUUACCCCUCAGCCCCAGUGGGGAAAAUGUUGGGUUUUUGUAUUUCAGAUCCAUUGAUGGGGGUUAAUCUGGAUGACUCAGAGAAGAGGAGGAACAAGAUUGGGUUGACUGAAGGCUGAUUCUAAGAGAAACUACCUUGAUGCUGGAAAGAGUGGUGAAGAAUUGAGUCCACUGGCCUGUAGCCAUUAUUGUGUGUAUGAGGACGACUGCAGGAAGACUGUGGAGAAUGCACGCACAUACAGCAUUUUGGCCUUGAGAGUGUCUCCCUCGCUGAACCUGAGGCCCACCGCUACUUAUUUCAGGGGAAGAGAAGUAAAGGGCGUGCAUCUCCAGGACUGUGAGCCUAGCCACUGAUUUCUCUGCAUCUCAGCGCGUAUCAUUCACUCACUAAGUUGAGUAGUCAGCCUUGGACACUCCUCUGUGAAGUGGGACAAGGUAACAAUUUUUAUUACCAUCACAAAUCAACUUGCUUGAGUCAAAAGAGCAUUGCCUGAGGUCCUGUUCCUGAUCUUCACCUUCUUGUUUGCCUGGAAAGAGAGAUUCCAGCUGCAGGCAACUGACGCCAUGAAAUGCCUUUGAUUCCUACUGCAGAGUAUUGGGGAAUGAUCGUUUGUUGGGCGGUAAACAUUGUUUUCACAGUCAUAGUCAUUUUUUCCAAUGUUGCAGGAAAGACCAUUUAUGAUUUUAGCACCAAGAAAUAAAGAACAUGGUUUUCUGAUUAGCCAAAAAAUAGAAUGAUUACAAAAUAUUGCCUGAUUCAAGCGAGGCAAUCAUAAUGUUUGAUGUAAAUAUAAUUCAAACUGUCUUAAAGCUAGAAUUGGAAUACCGAAAUGUUGUUGCUUUGUAUAGAUUGCCAUACGUGAGCUUGCUUUCUUCUUGUGAGAUGAAAGCUUGCCUUUUGAAGAAAUGCAGUGCACGUGCUUUAAUAUAACAUGAAAGGAAAGGUAUUCCAUGCCAGGAAAUCACUCAUAUGAGAUGGAAUCCUUUUAAACAAAGCUGGUGGCAAGCUUUUUCUGAAAGUUUGAAGCAAGAAUGAAAUAAUCUAAAACUACGUUCAUGACAACCACCCUCGGCCUUUCAUAUGGGGUUUGCAAAGUUUGUCUAAAAACACAAACUCAGCCCUUGCAGCUCUUCUUUGUAAGCCAAAUGGUAUGCAAAGACUGCUUUUUGGGGGCUGAUUGGGAUAGCUUCCAGCUGGUGGUGAUGAUUUUUAGAUUUAUGGCAAGUUCUAGAUCUGACUGGAGACACAGCAUGUUUGAAAAAAUGAGGUGUAAGUACUUCUGGGGUGGGUUUGACCAACCAGUGCCUCUGAGAAUAAUGCACGAGUUCUGAACUGCAAGAGUAAGCAAUUCAACAAUGAGGGAAACAAGCUUGAGAAUUGGUUUUUGGCUUUUUUUUUUUUUUUAAUAGUAUUUUAUUGCCUUUUGGGUGAAAGUUUACACAGCACGUUAGAUACCCUUUAACAGUUCUUAUGCAAAUUGUUCUGUGCCGUGGUUGCAUUUUUUUUUUUAAUUUCAUAGUGUUUUAGGUGAAAGUUUACAGUGCAAAUUAGUUUCUCAUUCAAAGAUUUAUGCACACGUUGUUUUGUGACAUUGGUUGCAAUCUCCACAAUGUGUCAUCCCUCUCUCCCUUUCCCUUUAUACUCUAGGUUUCCCAUGUCCAUUCGACCAGGUUUCCUGUCCCUUCCUGCCUUCUCAUCUUUGCUUUUGGGCGGAUGUUGCCUAUUUGGUCUCAUACACUUGGUUGAACCAAGAAGCACAUUCCUUGUGUCUGCUAUUAUUUGUUUUAUAGGACUGUCUAAUCUUUGGCUAAAAGGUGGACUUCGGGAGUGGUUCAGUUCUGAGUUGGUAGGGUGUUCGGGGGGCCAUAGUCUCAGGGGUUCCUCCAGUCUCUGUCAGACCGGUAAGUCUGUUUUUUUGUGUGUGUGUGCGCGUGUGUGAAUUUGCAUUUUUUUCUACGUAUUUCUCCCACUCUGUCCAGAACCCUCUAUCGUGAUCCCUGUCAGAGCAGUUGGUAGUGGUAACCAGGCACCAUCUAGCUCUUCUGGGCUUGGGCUGGUGGAGGCUGUGGUUCAUUUGGUCCAUUAGUCCUUUGGACUAAUAUUUUCCUUGUGCUUUGGGUUUUCUUCAUUCUUCUUUGCUCAGAAUGUGAUCGGAUCAGUAGAUAUAUUUUAUUUUUUUUAUGAUUAUGGGGUUUAUUAGGGAAGUAACAGUUAAAAUUCAGGCUCAGGAACACUCAGGAUACAAUUCUUCCAUCAGGAUAGCCUGUUUCCAGCCUUUCUCUCAGGCAACCUCUCCCUGGCCCUCAGGCUUUGCCCGAAGGCACUCAGUUUUCUCACUCCAGGGGUCAGGUCUCUGCUACCACUUCUUGUUGCCUUCAGUAUUACAGCUCUCUCUCUCUGUGUCUCCUGGUUCCAGGAGCUUCUCAGUGCAGGGAUCUUGGAUCCAAAGGACACUCUCCGCUCUUGGCUUUCCUUCCUUGGUGGUGUGGGAUCCUCUCUUUCCUGCCUCUGGGGUGGGUUUUUUCAAGCCCAGCGGGGUGGCAAAACUGACCAAUCCCCUUAGUGGGCCACAAUUAACCUAUUUGCACAGUCCUACCCAAUCACUUGGGUGGGAGUCAUGACCAAGGUGAGAAAGGCCACACGAAAGCGAACCAUUACACCACAAUUUUCUAAGAAUCUAAAAUGAGUAUUAUUUUUAUACUGUAAUCAGAAGAUUACCAUCAAAGUGUAUAUUUUAGAGAAAGGAAAACAAGUGAAGGCUGAGGGGAGAGAUUCUAAUAAUAGUUUACAGGAAGCCCUGGGUUUUAAUUGACCGUAAGAUUAGUUUGAGCAAUGGGGUGAUGGAGCUGCUAAGAAAGCUACCUAAGAGUGCAUAAAUAGAAGUCCAGCUCCGUAUUAGUACCCUGCAUUGCUCAGACCACAUGUGGAAUUUUUUUUUAAUUGUGUUUUUACGUGAAAGUUUACAGCUCAAGUUAAUUUCUCAUACAAAAACUUAUACACAUACUGUUAUGUGACACUACUUGCAAUCCCUAUAAUAGAUGUAUUUUAGAUGGCUGCUCGCAAGAUUUUAAGACCCCAGAUGUUACUUACCAAAGUCGGAUGUAGAACAUUUUCUUUGUGAACUAUGUUAUGCAAAUUGAUCUAGAUGUUCCCUGAGACCAUGGUCCCAGCCCUUGACCCCAGUAACUUGGCCCCUCAAGGUGUUUGGAUGUGCCUAGGAAGCUUCCGUGGCUUUGCCUUGGUCAAGUUGUGCUAACUUCCCCUACCAUUUGUUACAAUUCUUAAAUAUGUCAGCAUUCUCAUUAUUUCCAUAAUGUUUGUUCUGUUUGGAUUGAUCUAGCUUCGCUUCCCCUCCUUGCCUUCUCACCUUUGCUUUUGAGUAAAUGUUGACUGUUUCAUAUCAUAUACAGGCAUACCUCAGAGAUAAUUGUUAGGUUACAAACCACUGCAAUAAAGCAAAUAAAUAUCACAAUAAAGUGAGUCACUUGAAUUUUUUGGGUUCCCAGUGUGUAUAGAAGUUAUGUUUACACUAUACUGUGGAAACCCGGAUGGCGUAGUGGUUAAGUGCUAUGGCUGCUACCAAAGGGUUGGCAGUUCAAAUCUGCCAUGUGCUCCUUGGAAACUCUACAGGGCAGUACUACUCUGUCCUAUAAGGUCACUAUGAGUUGGAAUCAACUUGACAACACUGGUUUUUUUUUUUUUUUUU